This 631-nucleotide ribosomal RNA is filed under the name uncultured Bacteroidales bacterium. RNAcentral's name for it is "bacterial SSU rRNA". It matches the Rfam family "Bacterial small subunit ribosomal RNA", at positions 67 to 693 of the family's 1533-position model. The record is from RNAcentral. Lineage: Bacteria; Pseudomonadati; Bacteroidota; Bacteroidia; Bacteroidales.
UGGUCUUAGCUUGCUAAGGCUGAUGGCGACCGGCGCACGGGUGAGUAACACGUAUCCAACCUGCCGUCUACUCUUGGCCAGCCUUCUGAAAGGAAGAUUAAUCCAGGAUGGCAUCAUGAGUUCACAUGUCCGCAUGAUUAAAGGUAUUUUCCGGUAGACGAUGGGGAUGCGUUCCAUUAGAUAGUAGGCGGGGUAACGGCCCACCUAGUCAACGAUGGAUAGGGGUUCUGAGAGGAAGGUCCCCCACAUUGGAACUGAGACACGGUCCAAACUCCUACGGGAGGCAGCAGUGAGGAAUAUUGGUCAAUGGGCGAUGGCCUGAACCAGCCAAGUAGCGUGAAGGAUGACUGACCUAUGGGUUGUAAACUUCUUUUAUAAAGGAAUAAAGUCGGGUAUGCAUACCCGUUUGCAUGUACUUUAUGAAUAAGGAUCGGCUAACUCCGUGCCAGCAGCCGCGGUAAUACGGAGGAUCCGAGCGUUAUCCGGAUUUAUUGGGUUUAAAGGGAGCGUAGAUGGAUGUUUAAGUCAGUUGUGAAAGUUUGCGGCUCAACCGUAAAAUUGCAGUUGAUACUGGAUGUCUUGAGUGCAGUUGAGGCAGGCGGAAUUCGUGGUGUAGCGGUGAAAUGCUUAG